UGCAAUGGGCAGUCACUUUUGUGGGACUUGAGGAGGCCCAUAAAAGCUUCAAUGGCUGCUGUUUCUGAACAUUUGGCUGGUUUACUUCCCCUUCAUAUUGCCUAUAGCCAUGCCCAUGAAACUGCAAUUGAGGACUGGAUAUGGUCUGUCGGAUGCAAUCCUUUUUCCAUAACUUCCCAGGGCUGGCACAUAUCACAGUUUCAGUCAGAUACAAUUGGUCGGAGUUAUAUAAUCACGACUCUUGAAGAGUCGAUACAACUGGUCAAUUCUGCCACUCAUCGUCUACUAAUGGAGCGUACAUCUGAAAGAGCCUGAAGGUCUUCUCAGAU
This 329-nucleotide unclassified non-coding RNA is filed under the name Hevea brasiliensis (rubber tree). Lineage: Eukaryota; Viridiplantae; Streptophyta; Magnoliopsida; Malpighiales; Euphorbiaceae. The record is from RNAcentral.